UCAGAAUUUUGUCCUGACGUUCCUUU
RNAcentral lists this non-coding RNA (26 nucleotides) under Rattus norvegicus (Norway rat). The record is from RNAcentral. Lineage: Eukaryota; Metazoa; Chordata; Mammalia; Rodentia; Muridae.